RNAcentral lists this ribosomal RNA (460 nucleotides) under uncultured bacterium. RNAcentral's name for it is "partial 16S ribosomal RNA". It matches the Rfam family "Bacterial small subunit ribosomal RNA", at positions 338 to 795 of the family's 1533-position model. The record is from RNAcentral.
CCUACGGGUGGCAGCAGUGAGGAAUAUUGGUCAAUGGACGAGAGUCUGAACCAGUCAAGUAGCGUGAAGGAUGACUGCCCUAUGGGUUGUAAACUUCUUUUAUAAAGGAAUAAAACGAGGCACGUGUGCCUUUUUGCAUGUACUUUAUGAAUAAGGAUCGGCUAACUCCGUGCCAGCAGCCGCGGUAAUACGGAGGAUCCGCGCGUUAUCCGGAUUUAUUGGGUUUAAAGGGAGCGUAGAUGGGUUGUUAAGUCAGUUGUGAAAGUUUGCGGCUCAACCGUAAAAUUGCAAUUGAUACUGGCAGUCUUGAGUACAGUUGAGGUAGGCGGAAUUCGUGGUGUAGCGGGGAAAUGCUUAGAUAUCACGAAGAACUCCGAUUGCGAAGGCAGUUCACUGGACUGCAACUGACACUGAGGCUCGAAAGUGUGGGUAUCAAACAGGAUUAGAUACCCUAGUAGUC